GGCUUGAGUAUGGUAGGGGCAGAGGGAAUUCCCGGUGUAGCGGUGAAAUGCGUAGAUAUCGGGAAGAACACCAGUGGCGAAGGCGCUCUGCUGGGCCAUUACUGACGCUCAUGGACGAAAGCCAGGGGAGCGAAAGGGAUUAGAUACCCCUGUAGUCCUGGCCGUAAACGAUGAACACUAGGUGUCGGGGGAAUCGACCCCUUCGGUGUCGUAGCUAACGCGUUAAGUGUUCCGCCUGGGGAGUACGCACGCAAGUGUGAAACUCAAAGGAAUUGACGGGGGCCCGCACAAGCGGUGGAGUAUGUGGUUUAAUUCGAUGCAACGCGAAGAACCUUACCAGGGUUUGACAUCCUGCGAACCUCUUAGAAAUUUGAGGGUGCCUUCGGGAAUGCAGUGACAGGUGGUGCAUGGCUGUCGUCAGCUCGUGUCGUGAGAUGUUGGGUUAAGUCCCGCAACGAGCGCAACCCACGUUUUUAGUUGCCAGCAUUUAGUUGGGCACUCUAGAAAGACCGCCGGUGAUAAACCGGAGGAAGGUGUGGAUGACGUCAAGUCAUCAUGCCCCUUACACCCUGGGCUACACACGUACUACAAUGCUACGGACAAAGGGCAGCAAACUCGCGAGAGCUAGCAAAUCCCAUAAACCGUGGCUCAGUUCAGAUCGUAGGCUGCAACUCGCCUACGUGAAGUAGGAAUCGCUAGUAAUCGCAGGUCAGCAUACUGCGGUGAAUACGUUCCCGGGCCUUGUACACACCGCCCGUCACACCAUGGAAGUUGGCCAUGCCCGAAGUCGUUACUCCAACCCUUGUGGAGGAGGACGCCGAAGGUGGGGCUAAUGACUGGGGUGAAGUCAUAACAAGGUAACCGUA
Molecule: ribosomal RNA, 866 nt
Filed under: uncultured bacterium
Lineage: Bacteria
Description: bacterial SSU rRNA
Rfam family: Bacterial small subunit ribosomal RNA
Source: RNAcentral